This 1239-nucleotide ribosomal RNA is filed under the name uncultured bacterium. Its description in RNAcentral is "bacterial SSU rRNA". It matches the Rfam family "Bacterial small subunit ribosomal RNA", at positions 121 to 1347 of the family's 1533-position model. The record is from RNAcentral.
GCAACCUUACCUUAUCAGAGGGGAAUAACCCGGCGAAAGUCGGACUAAUACCGCAUAAAACAGGGGCACCGCAUGGUGAUAUUUGUUAAAGAAAUUCGCUGAUAGAUGGGCAUGCGUUCCAUUAGGUAGCUGGUGAGGUAACGGCUCACCAAGCCGACGAUGGAUAGGGGAACUGAGAGGUUGGUCCCCCACACUGGUACUGAGACACGGACCAGACUCCUACGGGAGGCAGCAGUGAGGAAUAUUGGUCAAUGGGCGAGAGCCUGAACCAGCCAAGUCGCGUGAAGGAAGAAGGAUCUAUGGUUCGUAAACUUCUUUUGCAGGGGAAUAAAGUGCAGGACGUGUCCUGUUUUGUAUGUACCCUGAGAAUAAGGAUCGGCUAACUCCGUGCCAGCAGCCGCGGUAAUACGGAGGAUCCGAGCGUUAUCCGGAUUUAUUGGGUUUAAAGGGUGCGUAGGUGGUUUGAUAAGUCAAGCGGUGAAAAGUUUUGCCAGCUUAACCUGUAAAAAAUGCCGUUGGAAACUGUCGGAACUUGAGUGUAAAAUGAGGUAGGCCGGAAAUGCGUGGUGUAGCGGUGAAAUGCAUAGAUAUUCACGCAGAACUCCGAUUGCGAAGGCAGCUUACUAAGCUACAACUGACACUGAAGCACGAAAGCGUGGGGAUCAAACAGGAUUAGAUACCCUGGUAGUCCACGCAGUAAACGAUGAUUACUAGCUGUUUGCGAUACACAGUAAGCGGCACAGCGAAAAGCGUUAAGUAAUCCACCUGGGGAGUACGCCGGCAACGGUGAAACUCAAAGGAAUUGACGGGGGCCCGCACAAGCGGAGGAACAUGUGGUUUAAUUCGAUGAUACGCGAGGAACCUUACCCGGGUUUGAACGUAGGGAGACAGGGGUGGAAACAUCCUUUUCAGCAAUGACUGCCUACGAGGUGCUGCAUGGUUGUCGUCAGCUCGUGCCGUGAGGUGUCGGCUUAAGUGCCAUAACGAGCGCAACCCUUAUUUUCAGUUACUAACAGGUCAAGCUGAGGACUCUGAAGAGACUGCCAGCGUAAGCUGUGAGGAAGGUGGGGAUGACGUCAAAUCAGCACGGCCCUUACAUCCGGGGCGACACACGUGUUACAAUGGUAAGGACAAAGGGCAGCUACCGGGCGACCGGAUGCGAAUCUCUAAACCUUAUCUCAGUUCGGAUCGGAGUCUGCAACUCGACUCCGUGAAGCUGGAUUCGCUAUGUAAUCGCGC